GCCCCUGACUGCAGCCCGCAGACGGAGCCCACAUGGAGGGGGCGGGCACUCAGUCCACAUGGAGGGGGCUGGCACUCCGCCCACAUGGAGGGGGCGGGCACUCAGUCCACAUGGAUGGGGCGGGCACUCAGUCCACAUGGAGGGGGCCGGCACUCCGCCCACAUGGAGGGGGCUGGCACUCCGCCCACAUGGAGGGGGCUGGCACUCAGUCCACAUGGAGGGGGCGGCAACUCAGUUCACAUUGAGGACUGGUCAAACAGCAUUUCUGAUCCCGUUUCUGACCUGAAAUUAGCUGAAAUGUACCUGAAAUUACCUGAAAUUAGAGUGUGCCCGCCCGAGCGAGUGAUGCCUAAAACAUGCAAACAAAACUGAAGACCAGGAACUGGAACCUGGGAACCUGGUAUGUGAUAUGUGUGUAAUGCUGGAGGUUGUAUGUAUAGCCAGAUGAAAUAGUCUGAUGACUAGUUGAAUAGUGUUUUUUAUCACUGAAAACUCAUCAGUAGUAGUAGCCUUUGUUUGCAUACCAUUUUGUGGUUUUGGGAGAGUAGGGUGUCAAGUACAGACACAAAUAAUUUUUCUUUCUUCUUCAAGGAAGAUGAUGUUGUCCUGAAGGACACAAUUCAGGCAGCAGCAUGGUGCCAGUUACAGUCCUCAAGGACAGCGUUUCUCUCCCAGAGGUCAUUGGGAUGGAAUGUUGGGAGCAGAUGGCAGCAUCAACACAGCGCAAAUCCCAUGACGGCGGGGAUGAGGAAGAAACGUGGAAACCAUUCCAAUUCUCAUUCAGAUUACAUACUGACUAUGAACUGUUCUGUGUGGAGAUGAUGGACAGGAGAAACCUGAAGGUGUUUGCCUCUUUUGAGUCAAACACCUCUCCCCCUCCCCGUCCCCCUCCCCGUCCCCCUCCCCGUGACGCCUGCGCCACACGACUCCAAUGUAGUCUGAUGAUGCAGCAUAAUGGCGGCGCUUGGCAGCUAUGGCGGCGGUGACGGCGAUGUCGGGCGACAGAGCGUGAAGCGAGAGUGGCGUCCACCUCACUGAGGAAGGCGUCAGUGUGUUCCCCCCCCGUUGAGACUUUGUUUGUUCUACUCUUUAUUGAUUUAUCUUUUAUGUUAAGAGUUUACAAUCUAUUUUUUGUAGUUGUUAUUUUUUAAUUGUUUUGUUGAAUAAAAAGACUGUUGUUAGUG
Long non-coding RNA from Gadus macrocephalus (Pacific cod), 1184 nucleotides. RefSeq lists it as uncharacterized. Lineage: Eukaryota; Metazoa; Chordata; Actinopteri; Gadiformes; Gadidae. The record is from RefSeq and is a predicted model, not a curated record. The transcript is spliced from 2 exons.